This is a long non-coding RNA of Sipha flava (yellow sugarcane aphid), 764 nucleotides long. RefSeq lists it as uncharacterized. Lineage: Eukaryota; Metazoa; Arthropoda; Insecta; Hemiptera; Aphididae. The record is from RefSeq and is a predicted model, not a curated record. The transcript has 3 exons.
CCGUCGCGUCUCCUGCGACGAGAAACGACUCCUGCAGGCUCCGUCUGCAGCCGUCGGCCAUCGGUGUCCGCGCGCGCCCGCACACCGUACACGUCACGUCGUCUCGUUUCACUCCUUUCCUUUAUCGACGGCGCGCGCGCGACACACGCCGCACGCCACCGCCAAAUGCGGUAUCGUUAUCGCCGUUGUUACUCGCGGACCCGCGCGAUCGGCAACUACGAAUCGCGGGUAGAGGACGUCGAGGUGUUGUUAUACCCAGCCCGAAAAAAGUAUUCAAAAUCAAUCUAAAUCGUUUUCCAAUACGGAAUUCAAUUUCUUUCAAAUGCAUAUCAUCCCCGUUCCGCGAUAAUAAAUUCUGUUGCGCCACUGUACACGAUCAUAUCACGCACGCGUCAAGUCCCUCGAAAAAACAAUCUACCGCGGUGGUGGUACACGUACCUUCAAACAACUUAUUAACCCAACCUAUCGUAUUGUAUUGUCGAAUGUCCAGUCGCGACUCGCAACGGAACGUUGAUUUUUCCCCUUUUACGAUAAACUCCAUACAUACGCGUGAAGAAACCAUGGUAGCUAGCAGGACGCGGAUACUAACCUGCAGAUACACACAUUUCACGUGCUACCUACUAUAUUUUAGCUAACAGUCGAAAUCUAAGAGCCGAUCCAGAGUGAAAUGAAACUAUGAGUGACAAUCAUUUAUCUACUUACUCCCAGGAAUAACGGUUCGUCGUUUUUAUUUUGAAUAGCAACUGUAAUUAUAACAAAAUCGA